This 711-nucleotide ribosomal RNA is filed under the name Streptomyces sp. MBRL 14. RNAcentral's name for it is "bacterial SSU rRNA". It matches the Rfam family "Bacterial small subunit ribosomal RNA", at positions 152 to 875 of the family's 1533-position model. Lineage: Bacteria; Bacillati; Actinomycetota; Actinomycetes; Kitasatosporales; Streptomycetaceae. The record is from RNAcentral.
GGAAACGGGGUCUAAUACCGGAUACGACCUGCCGAGGCAUCUUGGUGGGUGGAAAGCUCCGGCGGUGAAGGAUGAGCCCGCGGCCUAUCAGCUUGUUGGUGAGGUAACGGCUCACCAAGGCGACGACGGGUAGCCGGCCUGAGAGGGCGACCGGCCACACUGGGACUGAGACACGGCCCAGACUCCUACGGGAGGCAGCAGUGGGGAAUAUUGCACAAUGGGCGAAAGCCUGAUGCAGCGACGCCGCGUGAGGGAUGACGGCCUUCGGGUUGUAAACCUCUUUCAGCAGGGAAGAAGCGAGAGUGACGGUACCUGCAGAAGAAGCGCCGGCUAACUACGUGCCAGCAGCCGCGGUAAUACGUAGGGCGCGAGCGUUGUCCGGAAUUAUUGGGCGUAAAGAGCUCGUAGGCGGCUUGUCGCGUCGGUUGUGAAAGCCCGGGGCUUAACCCCGGGUCUGCAGUCGAUACGGGCAGGCUAGAGUUCGGUAGGGGAGAUCGGAAUUCCUGGUGUAGCGGUGAAAUGCGCAGAUAUCAGGAGGAACACCGGUGGCGAAGGCGGAUCUCUGGGCCGAUACUGACGCUGAGGAGCGAAAGCGUGGGGAGCGAACAGGAUUAGAUACCCUGGUAGUCCACGCCGUAAACGGUGGGCACUAGGUGUGGGCAACAUUCCACGUUGUCCGUGCCGCAGCUAACGCAUUAAGUGCCCCGCCUG